This 77-nucleotide transfer RNA is filed under the name Mizugakiibacter sp. Its description in RNAcentral is "tRNA-Gln". It matches the Rfam family "tRNA". Rfam says of the family: Transfer RNA (tRNA) molecules are approximately 80 nucleotides in length. Their secondary structure includes four short double-helical elements and three loops (D, anti-codon, and T loops). The record is from RNAcentral. Lineage: Bacteria; Pseudomonadati; Pseudomonadota; Gammaproteobacteria; Lysobacterales; Rhodanobacteraceae.
UGGGGCGUAGCCAAGUUGGUUAAGGCACCGGAUUUUGAUUCCGGCAUGCGCAGGUUCGAAUCCUGCCGCCCCAGCCA